AAGUCGAGCGGACGGAUGGGAGCUUGCUCCCUGAAGUCAGCGGCGGACGGGUGAGUAACACGUGGGCAACCUGCCUGUAAGACUGGGAUAACUUCGGGAAACCGGAGCUAAUACCGGAUAAUGCAUUUCCCCUCAUGGGGAUAUGCUGAAAGAUGGUUUCGGCUAUCACUUACAGAUGGGCCCGCGGCGCAUUAGCUAGUUGGUGAGGUAACGGCUCACCAAGGCAACGAUGCGUAGCCGACCUGAGAGGGUGAUCGGCCACACUGGGACUGAGACACGGCCCAGACUCCUACGGGAGGCAGCAGUAGGGAAUCUUCCGCAAUGGACGAAAGUCUGACGGAGCAACGCCGCGUGAGUGAUGAAGGUUUUCGGAUCGUAAAACUCUGUUGUCAGGGAAGAACAAGUGCCGGAGUAACUGCCGGCACCUUGACGGUACCUGACCAGAAAGCCACGGCUAACUACGUGCCAGCAGCCGCGGUAAUACGUAGGUGGCAAGCGUUGUCCGGAAUUAUUGGGCGUAAAGCGCGCGCAGGCGGUCUCUUAAGUCUGAUGUGAAAGCCCACGGCUCAACCGUGGAGGGUCAUUGGAAA
This 590-nucleotide ribosomal RNA is filed under the name Bacillus mesophilum. RNAcentral's name for it is "bacterial SSU rRNA". It matches the Rfam family "Bacterial small subunit ribosomal RNA", at positions 59 to 632 of the family's 1533-position model. RNAcentral also lists the same sequence under 1 other name. Lineage: Bacteria; Bacillati; Bacillota; Bacilli; Caryophanales; Bacillaceae. The record is from RNAcentral.